UACGACUACAUAUCAGGCAUAUCAAUAAGCGGAGGAAAAGAAACUAACAAGGAUUCCCUUAGUAACGGCGAGUGAAGCGGGAAGAGCUCAAAUUUGAAAUCUUCAAGGUUUUACCUUGACGAAUUGUAGUUUAAAGAAGUGUUUUCUGUUGAAGUUUUGGUAAAAGUUCUUUGGAAUAGGACAUCAUAGAGGGUGAGAAUCCCGUAUUUGACCAUUAUUUUCAGCUGUGUGAUACACUUUCAAAGAGUCGGAUUGUUUGGGAAUGCAGUCCAAAAUGGGUGGUAAAUUUCAUCUAAAGCUAAAUAUUGGCGAGAGACCGAUAGCGAACAAGUACCGUGAGGGAAAGAUGAAAAGAACUUUGAAAAGAGAGUUAAACAGUACGUGAAAUUGUCAAAAGGGAAGCGUUUGACACCAGUGUUGUUUUCUCGAAAAUCAAUUAAAAAAGGCAGGAUUUUGUGUUGUAUUGACUUUAUCAGCUUUCUGCACUCUUUUCUUGUCUUUUUUAAUGCACUUUUCGUUUAACAAGUCAACAUCAAUUUCUUCUGUUGUAAAAGGGUCAUUGGAAGGUGGCUUUCUUUUCGGAGAAAGUGUUUAUAGCCUUUGGCCUCUGCAAUCGGAGAGAUUGAGGUCUGCAGCGUAGAUCCUUCGGGGUUAGAUACAUUUGUGCUAAGUUAUAGCCUUUCAUAGACAACUUGUUGACUAUGAUCAGUCAUGUAGCUUACUCGCUUAUGCUAUUUUACCUACGCUUAGGAUGUUGAGCGCAUGUCUCUCUCU
RNAcentral lists this ribosomal RNA (774 nucleotides) under uncultured Neocallimastigales. RNAcentral describes it as "partial large subunit ribosomal RNA". It matches the Rfam family "Eukaryotic large subunit ribosomal RNA", at positions 24 to 616 of the family's 3401-position model. The record is from RNAcentral. Lineage: Eukaryota; Fungi; Neocallimastigomycota; Neocallimastigomycetes; Neocallimastigales.